AGUGAACGCUGGCGGUAGGCCUAACGCAUGCAAGUCGAACGGCAGCACAGUAAGAGCUUGCUCUUACGGGUGGCGAGUGGCGGACGGGUGAGGAAUACAUCGGAAUCUACUUUUUCGUGGGGGAUAACGUAGGGAAACUUACGCUAAUACCGCAUACGACCUACGGGUGAAAGCAGGGGAUCUUCGGACCUUGCGCGAUUGAAUGAGCCGAUGUCGGAUUAGCUAGUUGGCGGGGUAAAGGCCCACCAAGGCGACGAUCCGUAGCUGGUCUGAGAGGAUGAUCAGCCACACUGGAACUGAGACACGGUCCAGACUCCUACGGGAGGCAGCAGUAGGGAAUAUUGGACAAUGGGCGCAAGCCUGAUCCAGCCAUACCGCGUGGGUGAAGAAGGCCUUCGGGUUGUAAAGCCCUUUUGUUGGGAAAGAAAAGCAGCAGGUUAAUACCCCGCUGUUCUGACGGUACCCAAAGAAUAAGCACCGGCUAACCUCGUG
This 492-nucleotide ribosomal RNA is filed under the name uncultured bacterium. RNAcentral's name for it is "partial 16S ribosomal RNA". It matches the Rfam family "Bacterial small subunit ribosomal RNA", at positions 29 to 507 of the family's 1533-position model. The record is from RNAcentral.